Molecule: unclassified non-coding RNA, 237 nt
Filed under: Hevea brasiliensis (rubber tree)
Lineage: Eukaryota; Viridiplantae; Streptophyta; Magnoliopsida; Malpighiales; Euphorbiaceae
Source: RNAcentral
GGAAGAAGCGCGAAGAGCCGUUAGUCAUGCCGGUGUGGUGGCGGCGGCGGAGACUGCGGGCCCGUAGCUGGGCUCUGCGAGCAUAUAGGUUGCUGUAGAUGAAUGUUCUUAGCUGUCAUGUUUAAAAAUACUUCUGCUUCGUUACCUCAAGUGUGGCAUGCAGCAUUUUGGAAGGAAAAUUGAAGACGUGUUCAAGAAAACAUGAACAGAAGCAAAUGAUGAAAAUGAGCAUUUUAC